AACGAACGUUGGCGGCGUGGAUGAGGCAUGCAAGUCGAACGCGAAAGCCGCAAGGCGAGUAAAGUGGCGGACGGGCGAGUAACACGUAAUCAAGCUACCUGCGAGACGGGGAUAACUUCGGGAAACCGAAGCUAAGACCCGAUGGUCUUCUAGGAACGCAUGUUCCAUGAAGUAAAUGGGCGGGAUCCUCCGGGAUCGCCUGCUCGCAGAGGUGAUUGCGGCCCAUCAGCUAGUUGGUAGGGUAAUGGCCUACCAAGGCAACGACGGGUAGCCGGCCUUAGAGGGUGGUCGGCCGCACUGGGACUGAGACACUGAACCCNGACUCCUACGGGAGGCUGCAGUCGAGAAUCUUCCGCAAUGGGCGAAAGCCUGACGGAGCGACGCCGCGUGGAGGAUGAAGGCCUUC
RNAcentral lists this ribosomal RNA (406 nucleotides) under uncultured bacterium. RNAcentral's name for it is "bacterial SSU rRNA". It matches the Rfam family "Bacterial small subunit ribosomal RNA", at positions 29 to 419 of the family's 1533-position model. The record is from RNAcentral.